CCAGACUCCUACGGGAGGCAGCAGUGAGGAAUAUUGGUCAAUGGACGAGAGUCUGAACCAGCCAAGUAGCGUGCAGGAUGACGGCCCUAUGGGUUGUAAACUGCUUUUAUAAGGGAAUAAAGUUAGUCUCGUGAGACUUUUUGCAUGUACCUUAUGAAUAAGGACCGGCUAAUUCCGUGC
Molecule: ribosomal RNA, 180 nt
Filed under: uncultured bacterium
Lineage: Bacteria
Description: partial 16S ribosomal RNA
Rfam family: Bacterial small subunit ribosomal RNA
Source: RNAcentral